GGUGAAAAGCACCCCGGAAGGGGAGUGAAAUAGAACCUGAAACCGUGUGCUUACAAGUAGUCAGAGCCCGUUAAUGGGUGAUGGCGUGCCUUUUGUAGAAUGAACCGGCGAGUUACGAUUUGAUGCAAGGUUAAGCAGUAAAUGUGGAGCCGUAGCGAAAGCGAGUCUGAAUAGGGCGUUUAGUAUUUGGUCGUAGACCCGAAACCAGGUGAUCUACCCUUGGUCAGGUUGAAGUUCAGGUAACACUGAAUGGAGGACCGAACCGACUUACGUUGAAAAGUGAGCGGAUGAACUGAGGGUAGCGGAGAAAUUCCAAUCGAACCUGGAGAUAGCUGGUUCUCUCCGAAAUAGCUUUAGGGCUAGCCUCAAGUGAUGAUUAUUGGAGGUAGAGCACUGUUUGGACGAGGGGCCCCUCUCGGGUUACCGAAUUCAGACAAACUCCGAAUGCCAAUUAAUUUAACUUGGGAGUCAGAACAUGGGUGAUAAGGUCCGUGUUCGAAAGGGAAACAGCCCAGACCACCAGCUAAGGUCCCAAAAUAUAUGUUAAGUGGAAAAGGAUGUGGCGUUGCCCAGACAACUAGGAUGUUGGCUUAGAAGCAGCCAUCAUUUAAAGAGUGCGUAAUAGCUCACUAGUCGAGUGACACUGCGCCGAAAAUGUACCGGGGCUAAACAUAUUACCGAAGCUGUGGAUUGUCCUUUGGACAAUGGUAGGAGAGCGUUCUAAGGGCGUUGAAGCAUGAUCGUAAGGACAUGUGGAGCGCUUAGAAGUGAGAAUGCCGGUGUGAGUAGCGAAAGACGGGUGAGAAUCCCGUCCACCGAUUGACUAAGGUUUCCAGAGGAAGGCUCGUCCGCUCUGGGUUA
Molecule: ribosomal RNA, 861 nt
Filed under: Staphylococcus aureus
Lineage: Bacteria; Bacillati; Bacillota; Bacilli; Caryophanales; Staphylococcaceae
Description: partial 23S ribosomal RNA
Rfam family: Bacterial large subunit ribosomal RNA
Source: RNAcentral